Non-coding RNA from Nicotiana tabacum (common tobacco), 5710 nucleotides. NCBI's taxonomy places the organism in Eukaryota, Viridiplantae, Streptophyta, Magnoliopsida, Solanales, Solanaceae. The record is from RefSeq and is a predicted model, not a curated record.
UGGUGGACGUAGGAUUAUUUUGAUCCGAACCACGUUAAAUCUUGUGUUCUUUCUUUUACGUUUCCGCUAACAAUACUUUACAUGGUUGUUUUUGUGGAGUAACACUAAGCUUGUUUAGUAUCUAAUUUUGUGAAGUCUUAGCAAUUUUGCAUACCAAAUUCGUAUUUUCAACAAUAUAAAUGUAGUUGGUUCUUACCCGCGGGGUUGUCAUGAUACGCUUCUGUCAUACCUUGAGCAAACUUCAACGACUCAAAUUUUGUUCGAACUGAGCCAAGAUCACAGAUUAGUCCACUGCCAUCCUGCAAGUUUAGUUAACAUCAAUCAGAUUUACCUCAUGUCUUGUCAUUUGUUUUUUGUUAUUUCCAAUUGAACUAAACCAAAAUUAUGUUUUAAUGAUAAAAUAAACAUACAUCAUCAAUCAGUAUAUUGCGUGGUUUCAAAUCGCAGUGAACCAGGAAAGUUGUGUGCAAUAGAUGGAGGGCGUAUGCAACAUCCCGUAGUAACUUCAGUGCUUGUGGCCAAUCCAAUGCUACACAAAGUGUAAAAAUGCAUGUUAGAAGGGAUAAUGUUUGUGCAUGAGCUUUGUGACCACCUUAAUACCUGGUGUGCCAAAAAUAACAAGAGUACAAAGAUCAAACCUGUAGAGCUUCUAUGCUAGCAAGUGGUUUUGUAGUCAAUAAGAUUUGUGAAACAACAAUUAGUUCUCAUGUGUUGUUAACCAUUCAUUGUAAUCAGUCAAUAUUAUGGAGAAUAGUUAGGAGAGUAAACUUGACCAUAUCACUCAGGUCCAAAGAAAAAGAGGAGGAUAUUUCAAUGAUGGGAGACUUUUCUUAGGCAUUUUAUAGUAGUUGUCAUUUGAUGUCCUAAAUUUCCUUUUGUUAUGUCAGUUAACUUUCCUUGAUCUCGUUGUGCUAUGUUGAUCUUCCAAUAACGCCAUGCCUCCUGUAACUGCCUGCAUUAUGUGCUAGUCUAUUCGAGAUGCAUGAUCAAAAAAUAUAAUAAUCAGAUGCAUGAACUAUUCGAGAAAUUCUUCUUCUGCAGGCUUAGAACCAAUAACGGCUAUUACCCUCCAUUUCUUUCGACUCAACACUCAGCUCCUGCCUCCUUGCAACAUCCCUCGUAUUUCAGGAAAGUAUGAACCAAGGCUUUUAAUAGCUUCUUGCGAUGCCCCUAUUGGAAUGCAGUUAAUUUCCAUGUUUCUAAUGGUGAAAAGGAUGAAUUGAGUGUUAUCUUCUAACAUUUUACGACGAUGUGAAACUUGUUCUGCUGGAAACAUUUGUUUGAGAGUAGCUGAUUUUGGUGGUUAGCUGUAUAAGUGAUGAGCUAUCUUACUAUAGUAGGACGAAGGCACUUUCAAACUGAAAAAUAUGGAAAAACUUCAGGGGUUAGAGGUGUUAGUUCUGUGUCUGGAGAAGACUACUCUAAUAUAGUCCCUUUUUGUCCAUUUUAGUUAAGCUCCAAUUUACCAUUUGGGGGUCGAUUGAAGAGUUUUUUCCCUUUAACUGACAUAUUGCUAGUGGAAUUUCGUGAUUUUGAGAGCAUGCAGCCCAUUUAAAGAGUUUCAGUUUCCUCUUCAUUGUUCUAAAUCUAUCCACCAAUCUAAGAGAUUGACUCACUCUGAGCUUGGACCAAAGAUAAGACUAAAAAGGACGAAUCGACUUGCACUUGUCUAACUUCUAUUAACAGAGCUUAGAGCAGCUUUCGAAAUAAAAUGCUAGCUUCUGAACCAAUUUGGUAUUCAAAUUAUUCUGUAUUCAUUUUGUUUAUUUUUAGAGAGAAUUUGUUUUUGCUAGAAGCUAAAUCCUAGUCGUUACAACGAUCUCACAGACUUUUUGCAUGUAGCCAACAAACUGCAGGGCCUAAAGCUCUAGAAUGGAGAGAUCCGGAUUCUAUCUAGCCGGAGAGAACUUUGGUGUUAGUCGACAUUAGCAAUGACUACUCAAACUGGUACAUGCUAAUAAAAAAGGUAGAAGAAUCACCAGCAGAAUCAAGGUAGACGGUGAAAAUCUGAGAUGGUCCUACUAAGCCUUGAAACAAGCAUCUGAUAGACGGUGAAAAUCUGAGAUGGUCCUACUAAGCCUUGAAACAAGCAUCUGAUAGACGGUGAAAAUCUGAGAUGGUCCUACUAAGCCUUGAAACAAGCAUCUGAUGGCACCAAACUUUGCAGAAAAUGAGGUAGAAACGUACAAAUUUAUACAUGCAGGAUGGUGCUAAAUUUCAACAGCUUCGGAAGAUACGUCCUACUUGAAUCUUGGCUAGGUGGAAGCAGAGUAGUGGUGAUUGUCCCAGAAAUUUGAAACAGAUGCAGGUUGGACAGAAUAUGGCAACAAGAUUUUAAAAUAAUUGGAAGAGUUGAUGGGCAGAAACGAACAAAACCUAUUCAGAAGCUGCAGCAACACAACUGUGGCAGAAGAGGAGAUUCGAAAGAAAACAAAGGGGAUACCAGAAGGAAGAGUUAGUGUAUAUGAAGCAACUUUUGGUGGACAGAGAAGAGUAUUUACCAGAAGGAGAUUCGAAAGAAAACAAACAGUGGACGAAGGAGCAGACCAAUCAAUGUUUUUGCAUGGAAGAGAGAUGAUGCCAACAGACACAGAACAGAAACAGAAUCAAAUAUAGAUAUAUGCUCCUUGGAAAACUGGACAUCCUAUGCAUCAAUUGGGGCACCGUCUUUACCAUGGUAUGAUGAAACAAACAACAUGCAAGGUGGUAUGAGCUCUUCAACAGAAACCAAAGGUGUGCUAACAGCUGGGAGUAGGUGUGGGAGGUUUUGAACAAGAUCUAUUGGGCUUGCCGCUACGAGUAGAAUACAUGAGGAUGCAGAAAAAUCAAAAUAUCAUCAUAAAGCCACCAGCACCAGACAGUGAAAAGAGGAAAAGAAAGAACAAGGUGAAAAAAAUAGAAUUCAAAGUUGAGUAUGGGAAAGUGAAGGGAGAACCAGGCACAGGAACAACGUAAUUUUAGAAGAUUAAGAUUCUAAGUUAGAACUUAAGGGGUGUAAACAUACUAGGAAGGGAAGAUGCUAAGGUCAUUAAUACAGAGAUGGAAAACAGGUAUCCUGUGUUUUCAAGAAACAGAAUUGGAAGAGUGGUCAGGCAGCAUAAUCCGGCAAAUUUGGGGGAAUAGAUAGGUUGACUGCGUUGUCUCAAAGCCAAAGGUAAUCAGGCGGAAGAGUAAUACUAUGGGUUAAGAGGAAUGGUCUUGCUUGAAUGACAGAACGGGGUUCUUAGGCCCCAUUUGUUUGCACUAAAUGGAGAUCUGAAUCCUAAUCAUUCAUAUCUUAAAUAUUAAGAGCGUUUGUUUUUAAAGCCUGAAUCUUAAUCAUUCAGAUCUUACUCAUUAAGUGUGUUUGUUUGUUUUCCUUCACAACUACUUAAUGGGUCUGAAUAGGUCUGUAUGAUUAAGAUCUAUAACAAAGACUUAAUUUCAUUAAGAUGUUAUCAUCUACAUUCAUUACUAACUGUCGUCAUCGUCAAUCAUUAUCAACUACCACCAUCAACAAUUGUAGGUCAUUAAUACAGAGAUGGAAAACAGGUAUCUUUUGUUUUCAAGAAACAGAAUUGGAAGAGUGGUCAAGCAGCAUAAUCCGGCAAAUUUGGGGGAAUAGAUGGGUUGACUGCGUUGACUGCGUUGACUCAAAGCCUAAGGUAAUCAGGCGGAAGAGUAAUACUAUGGGUUAAGAGGAAUGGUCUUGCUUGAAUGACAGAACGGGGCUCUUAGGCCACAUUUGUUUGCACUAAAUGGAGAUAUGAAUCCCAAACUUUGCAGAAAAUGAGGUAGAAACGUACAAAGUUAUACAUGCAGGAUGGUGCUAAAUUUCAACAGCUUCGGAAGAUACGUCCUACUUGAAUCUUGGCUAGGUGGAAGCAGAGUAGUGGUGAUUGUCCCAGAAAUUUGAAACAGAUGCAGGUUGGACAGAAUAUGGCAACAAGAUUUUAAAAUAAUUGGAAGAGUUGAUGGGCAGAAACGAACAAAACCUAUUCAGAAGCUGCAGCAACACAACUGUGGCAGAAGAGGAGAUUCGAAAGAAAACAAAGGGGAUACCAGAAGGAAGAGUUAGCGUAUAUGAAGCAACUUUUGGUGGACAGAGAAGAGUAUUUAGCCUAAUGCUUAGUGGCUAUCUCAGCGACCAAUUUAGUCCCAACCCAGAAGCGGUGGUGCUACAGAGUUGUUUUCAACAGUGCAGGAAAGUACCGACAGGUCUCAAAGUCGCAGAGGUGCGCUUCGGAAUGUACCAUUUUUGAUUUCGUAUUGUACAUUGACAGCAAACACUUCAGAGCAGGGAAUGGUUUUGGAAGGGAAGAAGGCUGGAGAUAUGACCUAAGUAUCUGGCCAGAAUCAUCGUCGAAGUUAACAGAGAUGGCAAAGUAAAUUGUCGGCAACAAUCUGAUGACUGACUAUCCGAAUUUCCAGGAGGAGACCAGUCAUCCAAGCUGAUAAAACAAGGGGAAACGAGAGGGUGAUGAGAGAUCAGCGAAUUACGUGGCUGGCUGAUUUUCAAAACUUGAAACUGAACCAUUCAAGCACUUGAUUCCAAUCAAUGAACAAACCUGGUCCAGAAUUGAAGGAAUGAAGGAAAACUGGAGAGAAAUCACCCUUCCUUCAGAAACAUGGGCUGUGCUUGUUAUGACCCUUGUAUUUUUAACAUGGGCUCCUCUUUUUCAACCUAAUGCAAUUAUACAUCCUGUAACGCUGGAAAUAGAAGUCCAAUUAUCAAAUAAAAAUACUCCAACACAAAAGAAAGAACAGUCAAGAGCUCUUAUCCCUUCCAGACCAGCUUGUGACCCCAACAGUGGAUACCAGGGACAAACAGUGGACGAAGGAGCAGACCAAUCAAUGUUUCUGCAUGGAAGAGAGAUGAUACCAACAGACACAGAACAGAAACAUAACCAAAUAUGGAUAUAUGCUCCUUGGAAAACUGGACAUCCUAUGCAUCAAUUGGGGCACCGUCUUUACCAUGGUAUGAUGAAACAAACAGUAUGCAAGGUGGUAUGAGCUCUACAACAGAAACCAAAGGUGUGCUAACAGCUGGGAGUAGGUGUGGGAGGUUUUGAACAAGAUCUAUUGGGUUUGCCGCUACGAGUAGAAUACAUGAGGAUGCAGAAAAAUCAAAAUAUCAUCAUAAAGCUACCAGCACCAGACAGUGAAAAGAGGAAAAGAAAGAACAAGGUGAAAAAAAUAGAAUUCAAAGUUGAGUAUGGGAAAGUGAAGGGAGGACCAGGCGCAGGAACAACGUAAUUUUAGAAGAUUAAGAUUCUAAGUUAGAACUUAAGGGGUGUAAACAUACUAGGAAGGGAAGAUGCUAAGGUCAUUAAUACAGAGAUGGAAAACAGGUAUCCUGUGUUUUCAAGAAACAGAAUUGGAAGAGUGGUCAGGCAGCAUAAUCCGGCAAAUUUGGGGGAAUAGAUGGGUUGAUUGCGUUGUCUCAAAGCCUAAGGUAAUCAGGCGGAAGAGUAAUACUAUAGGUUAAGAGGAAUGGUCUUGCUUGAAUGACAGAACGGGGUUCUUAGGCCCCAUUUGUUUGCACUAAAUGGAGAUCUGAAUCCUAAUCAUUCAUAUCUCAAAUAUUAAGAGCGUUUGUUUUUAAAGCCUAAAUCUUAAUCAUUCAUAUCUUACUCAUUAAGUGUGUUUGUUUGUUUUCCUUCACAACUACUUAAUGGGUCUGAAUAGGUUUGUAUGAUUAAGAUCUAUAACAAAGACUUAAUUUCAUUAA